Molecule: unclassified non-coding RNA, 308 nt
Filed under: Hevea brasiliensis (rubber tree)
Lineage: Eukaryota; Viridiplantae; Streptophyta; Magnoliopsida; Malpighiales; Euphorbiaceae
Source: RNAcentral
CACCUGUCGCUAAUUCUCUUCCCUUACGUUACUCCCUCUCCAAACUGCUCCUCGUCUUGAUAAACGCGCCCUCCUCCUUUCUUCCUUCUUCAGAGACUCUGAUUCAGACGGGAAUUUGGUAUGUCCUGACUUCAUCAUCCCAAAACGCUUUGUCGUUUUAUUUCUUCUAUAUCACUCUCUCUCUUUGGUGACAGAAAAGAGAAAUUCUCUUUUAAUAAUUCCCAGAGGUAGCGGUUGAAGACGGUGGUGGGUUCAGAUUGAAAUGUUGGGUGAAGCAAAAUUGGGGAGUGAGGACUUGAACCAGUGCU